CUGAGUUCGUGCCCGAAGUGGCCUGGGGCUGGUGCUAAUGGGAAGGCAUGAUCAGUUCUAUAACUAUCUUUAAUAAGUAUUAUUUUAAUGUCAGUUUUUGCUUCUCUUCUAAAUUUAUUGUAUCAUAUUAAAGGAGGAAUUGUUCUUAGUUUAUGUUUUGUGGAAAGAAUGCUUUUAUUGGGUGAAUAGAUUUAAAUGAAUCAAAUUUUAAGAAUUCUUGAACUAGAAAACAUUGUUUCUACUUUUAGUUUAUAUCCCUAAGUUAAGUUCACAUAUUAAACUUGUUGAACAUUCUCUAAAUGAAAUAUGAGGAUGUAAGGAAAUGUCUUUUUAAAGAAAUUGAAUAGUAUUAUGAAAAAUAUUUGGUUAUAUAUUUAGAAAGUUUCCCUCCUUCUUAGGUUUAUUUCAAAAGUUGAAGUCUUGAAUGACUGGAAACUGAUUGGGUGCUCUCCAGGAAAGCCACUGGAAAAGGAGUCAAACUCAGAUCUUCUGGCAUCUUGCUGGCUCUAAGGUUCUUCUUUUUCAAUAUCCACUGUGAUGUGACCAGUGAUCAGAUGAAAUUUCCUUUGCUGACUUAUCACUAUCUUAUACAAGAGUCUCUGGAUAAAGAAAGAAAGGAUGAAGAAUCAGAGGCCAGGUACCAUUGUUUGUCCAAAUACAUCACAAAUGGCAAUGAAUGUACAUGGGAGAAUAUCAGGGUCCUGGUGUUCAAACUGACUUUGAAACGGUUCAUCUUCAAAAAGUGCCAGGUCAGUACACUCAUUUGUCAGACCUGCAA
This 778-nucleotide long non-coding RNA is filed under the name Mus spicilegus (steppe mouse). RNAcentral's name for it is "lncRNA (ENSMSIG00000026839.1)". Lineage: Eukaryota; Metazoa; Chordata; Mammalia; Rodentia; Muridae. The record is from RNAcentral.